This 315-nucleotide unclassified non-coding RNA is filed under the name uncultured fungus. Its description in RNAcentral is "partial contains small subunit ribosomal RNA, internal transcribed spacer 1, and 5.8S ribosomal RNA". The stretch from base 1 to 73 matches the Rfam family "Eukaryotic small subunit ribosomal RNA", at positions 1759 to 1831 of the family's 1831-position model. The record is from RNAcentral. Lineage: Eukaryota; Fungi.
ACAAACUUGGUCAUUUAGAGGAAGUAAAAGUCGUAACAAGGUUUCCGUAGGUGAACCUGCGGAAGGAUCAUUACCGAAUGACCUGCACCUCGCCUUGUGCGUGGUUGCUCAUUGGCGCCUCUUGAUCUUGAUCUUGGUGCUUCAUCACUCUGCACUACACACUAACAAGUGGGUGGACUUGCUUGGGAUGGGGUGCCCUGGUCAAGAUGUCCUAUCCUACACACAAACCUGUCAUCGUAUGGUGUUGAACUUUGAACAUAUAAUAUAACUUUCAACAACGGAUCUCUUGGCUCUCGCAUCGAUGAAGAACGCAGC